UCGGAUGUGCCCAGAUGGGAUUAGCUAGUAGGCGGGGUAAUGGCCCACCUAGGCGACGAUCCCUAGCUGGUCUGAGAGGAUGACCAGCCACACUGGAACUGAGACACGGUCCAGACUCCUACGGGAGGCAGCAGUGGGGAAUAUUGCACAAUGGGCGCAAGCCUGAUGCAGCCAUGCCGCGUGUAUGAAGAAGGCCUUCGGGUUGUAAAGUACUUUCAGCGAGGAGGAAGGCGUUGUGGUUAAUAACCGCAGCGAUUGACGUUACUCGCAGAAGAAGCACCGGCUAACUCCGUGCCAGCAGCCGCGGUAAUACGGAGGGUGCAAGCGUUAAUCGGAAUUACUGGGCGUAAAGCGCUCGCAGGCGGUCUGUCAAGUCGGAUGUGAAAUCCCCGGGCUCAACCUGGGAACUGCAUUCGAAACUGGCAGGCUAGAGUCUUGUAGAGGGGGGUAGAAAUCCAGGUGUAGCGGUGAAAUGCGUAGAGAUCUGGAGGAAUACCGGUGGCGAAGGCGGCCCCCUGGAUAGAGACUGACGCUCAGGUGCGAAAGCGUGGGGAGCAACAGGAUUAGAUACCCUGGUAGUCCACGCCGUAGACGAUGUCGACUUGGAGGUUGUGCCCUUGAGGCGUGGCUUCCGGAGCUAACGCGUUAAGUCGACCGCCUGGGGAGUACGGCCGCAAGGUUAAAACUCAAAUGAAUUGACGGGGGCCCGCACAAGCGGUGGAGCAUGUGGUUUAAUUCGAUGCAACGCGAGGAACCUUACCUACUCUUGACAUCCAGAGAACUUAGCAGAGAUGCUUUGG
RNAcentral lists this ribosomal RNA (800 nucleotides) under uncultured bacterium. Its description in RNAcentral is "bacterial SSU rRNA". It matches the Rfam family "Bacterial small subunit ribosomal RNA", at positions 221 to 1014 of the family's 1533-position model. The record is from RNAcentral.